Molecule: ribosomal RNA, 406 nt
Filed under: uncultured bacterium
Lineage: Bacteria
Description: partial 16S ribosomal RNA
Rfam family: Bacterial small subunit ribosomal RNA
Source: RNAcentral
GAUGAACGCUAGCUCCAGGCUUAACACAUGCAAGUCGAGGGACCGGCGCAAGGGCGAGUAACACGUAUCCAACCCGCUCCUUACUCGGGGAUAGCCUUUCGACAGAAAGAUUAAUACCCGAAUUUAAGGAUGGGGAUGCGUUCCAUUAGGUUUUUGGUGAGGUAACGGCACACCAAGCCUUCGAUGGAUAGGGGUUCUGAGAGGAAGAGACCCCACAUUGGAAAUGAGCCGCAGUCCAAACUCCUACGGGAGACAGAAGUGAGGAAUAGUGGUCAGAGGAAGCUAGCCAAAACCAGCCGAGUAGAGUGAAGGAUGAAGGCUUAUAGAUCGUAAACUUCAUUUAUAUAAGAAUAUGUAAUAAAAGAAUAAGAAACGGCUAACUCCGUGCCAGCAGCCGCGGUAAUUC